UGGGCCAAGGUAGGGCCAAGCCUGUUCUCUACUGGGCCAAGGUAGGCCAAGCCUGUUCCUCACUGGGCCAAGGUAGGGCCAAGCCUGUUCCUCACUGGGCCAAGGUAGGCCAAGCCUGUUCCUCACUGGGCCAAGGUAGGGCCAAGCCUGUUCCUCGCUGGGCCAAGGUAGGGCCAAGCCUGUUCCUCACUGGGCCAAGGUAGACCAAGCCUGUUCCUCACUGGGCCAAGGUAGACCAAGCCUGUUCCUCACUGGGCCAAGGUAGGCCAAGCCUGUUCCUCACUGGGCCAAGGUAGACCAAGCCUGUUCCUCACUGGGCCAAGGUAGGGCCAAGCCUGUUCUCUACUGGGCCAAGGUAGGCCAAGCCUGUUCCUCACUGGGCCAAGGUAGGGCCAAGCCUGUUCCUCACUGGGCCAAAGAAGGCCAAGCCUGUUCCUCACUGGGCCAAGGUGGGCCAAGCCUGUUCCUCACUGGGCCAAGGUGGGCCAAGCCUGUUCCUCACUGGGCCAAGGUAGGCCAAGCCUGUUCCUCGCUGGGCCAAGGUAGACCAAGCCUGUUCCUCACUGGGCCAAGGUAGGGCCAAGCCUGUUCCUCACUGGGCCAAGGUAGGGCCAAGCCUGUUCCUCGCUGGGCCAAGGUAGGGCCAAGCCUGUUCCUCACUGGGCCAAGGUAGGCCAAGCCUGUUCCUCACUGGGCCAAGGUAGGCCAAGCCUGUUCCUCACUGGGCCAAGGUAGGGCCAAGCCUGUUCCUCACUGGGCCAAGGUAGGGCCAAGCCUGUUCCUCUCUGGGCCAAGGUAGGCCAAGCCUGUUCCUCACUGGACCAAGGUAGGCCAAGCCUGUUCCUCCCUGGGCCAAGGUAGGCCAAGC
This is a long non-coding RNA of Oncorhynchus keta (chum salmon), 868 nucleotides long. RefSeq lists it as uncharacterized. Lineage: Eukaryota; Metazoa; Chordata; Actinopteri; Salmoniformes; Salmonidae. The record is from RefSeq and is a predicted model, not a curated record. The transcript has 3 exons.